GUGGCUGUGGCUCAGUGGUGGAGCGCUUACCUCAAACGUGAGGCACUGGGUUUGAUCCUCAGCAUCACA
RNAcentral lists this transfer RNA (69 nucleotides) under Marmota monax (woodchuck). RNAcentral describes it as "tRNA.Leu". The record is from RNAcentral. Lineage: Eukaryota; Metazoa; Chordata; Mammalia; Rodentia; Sciuridae.